RNAcentral lists this ribosomal RNA (797 nucleotides) under uncultured Chloroflexota bacterium. Its description in RNAcentral is "bacterial SSU rRNA". It matches the Rfam family "Bacterial small subunit ribosomal RNA", at positions 535 to 1344 of the family's 1533-position model. Lineage: Bacteria; Bacillati; Chloroflexota. The record is from RNAcentral.
CAAGCGUUAUCCGGAAUUACUGGGCGUAAAGCGCGUGCAGGCGGGUGGCCAAGUCAGGCAUGAAAGCUCCCGGCUAAACCGGGAGAGGUUGUCUGAAACUGGUCAUCUUGAGUACGGUAGAGGGGUACGGAAUUCCGCGUGUAGUGGUGAAAUGCGUAGAUAUGCGGAGGAACACCAGUGGCGAAGGCGGUACCCUGGACCGAGACUGACGCUGAGACGCGAAAGCGUGGGGAGCGAACGGGAUUAGAAACCCCGGUAGUCCACGCCGUAAACGAUGCACACUAGAUGUUCGUGCCCCUAAGGGGGCGGGAGUGUCGUAGCUAACGCGCUAAGUGUGCCGCCUGGGGAGUACGGUCGCAAGGCUAAAACUCAAAGGAAUUGACGGGGACCCGCACAAGCAGCGGAGCGUGUGGUUUAAUUCGAUGCUACGCGAAGAACCUUACCUGGGCUUGACAUGCUGGUAGUACCGAACCGAAAGGGGAGGGACCUACGGGAGCCAGCACAGGUGCUGCAUGGCUGUCGUCAGCUCGUGCCGUGAGGUGUUCGGUUAAGUCCGCAAACGAGCGCAACCCUUGCCGCUAGUUACAGGUGUCUAGCGGGACUGCCCGUGACAAACGGGAGGAAGGUGGGGAUGACGUCAAGUCAGCAUGGCCUUUAUGUCCAGGGCGACACACACGCUACAAUGGCCGGUACAAUAGGUCGCGAAGCCGCGAGGCGAAGCCAAUCCACCAAAGCCGGUCGUAGUUCGGAUUGCAGGCUGCAACUCGCCUGCAUGAAGUGGGAGUUGCUAGUAACCG